This 263-nucleotide ribosomal RNA is filed under the name uncultured bacterium. Its description in RNAcentral is "partial 16S ribosomal RNA". It matches the Rfam family "Bacterial small subunit ribosomal RNA", at positions 524 to 787 of the family's 1533-position model. The record is from RNAcentral.
UACGUAGGGGGCGAGCGUUGUCCGGAAUUACUGGGCGUAAAGGGUACGCAGGCGGCCAAAUAAGUCAGAUGUGAAAGGUCACGGCUCAACCGUGGUAAGCAUUUGAAACUGUAUGGCUUGAGUUAAGGAGAGGAAAGUGGAAUUCCUGGUGUAGCGGUGAAAUGCGUAGAUAUCAGGAGGAAUACCAGUGGCGAAGGCGACUUUCUGGACUUAAACUGACGCUGAGGUACGAAAGCGUGGGGAGCAAACAGGAUUAGAUACCC